Molecule: long non-coding RNA, 1404 nt
Organism: Cervus elaphus (red deer)
Lineage: Eukaryota; Metazoa; Chordata; Mammalia; Artiodactyla; Cervidae
Exons: 3
Source: RefSeq, a predicted model, not a curated record
GUCAUUGCAGGGACUGGGUGAGUGAAAGCAGCCUGGGGGUGGGAGAGAAAGGUGGUACAAGGGAGGGGAUGAUGAAUGGGGCAGCCAGGCUCUAGAAGGGUGAAACCUAAGGAAAGGCAGGAUGGAGAGGGGGCUUGGAAGGGACCUAGAGACAUUACUUGCAGACACCAAAAGAGAGAGGAUAUAGAGCCUUGAGAAGAACUCCAGCUUGGGAGGCAAGGAGAUUUGAGGAAGAGGGCAGUGGAGAGCAGCCCCCAACCCAACCUCCAGCCUAAUUCAGUCUCUCUUCCUCCAAAUUUAGGGUCUUAUAAAAAUAUCAGUGGAUUUUGUGUUGGACCGAGUAUCUGGAGACCAGGAGGCUGUGUGGCAGUGGGACCAUGUUGGUGAUGCAGGAACUUAAAAUUGUGUUCCCUGAUGCCCAUCCUGGCUCAACUCUAUCCAACUUGAUCCCAAAUGGUCAAAAUGCUGUCUCCCACACAGGAGGGGUGUCAGUCUGCAACUAGAGGACCUCAGCUUGGUUAUUCAAGAUGUCUUGUGGAUGGUGGCUCCACCAGGAGGAAUCUGAUCUUCCCAUCCUGGAAAAGCAAAGACAGCAAGAUGCAUAGCUGACUCCAGAAGAAUUUUGUUCCUGCAUCUAAGAUAGGCAAGAUGGCCAGUUAUCACCCUCCUUGUGCUGUUGGUCAGGAUUCUACCAGGUGGCAGAAGCCACCUGUUCUAAGAGAGUCUUCUCUUGGGACAGGUGUGUACAUUAUCAAUGAAAAACUUAUUUUUAGCACCCUGAAUCCAUCAGAAACCACCAAAGUGGCCUUCAUUACCCAUUCUAGCUUAACAUGACUGAAGGGCAGGGAUGGUAGGAAAACCUCUUGCGAACUGACACAUCUUCCUCCAAAAUUGGAUCUUUACCUGAUUCAACUCUCAUCUCUGGUUGUCAAAUAAAUAUUUAGGUACCUAAAACCUUGCAUAGUUUUAGCUCUGAGGACCCAGCAAUAAUCAAGACACCCCAUGCCAGCCCUAUGGAUCUCAUAAUUUGUGAGGAGGUUAUCACAAAAUAACCACAGAUUUUGAAAUGAUCGAAAGUGCAAUGACCCUCAUAAUCUCUCCUGACAUCUUGGCUCCAGCCCCAGUCUCAGUUUCUGUGGCUAUUUGAAAAAGUUUUGUUUCAAGCCCUUCACAUCUGAGUCCCUCUGUGUCACCUGCAUCGUAUCCAGGAGGUUGGUCAGUGUAGGGGACACCAACAACUCUGGGACUGUCUCCAUGACAACACAUCGGCACAUCCUGCCCUCAGAGCCCUGGAGGCCCUACCAUGUAUUCUCGUACCACUUAUAAUAAUCAUUCUUGAUAUUCUGUAACUGAUGAUUCAGCAUCUUGAAAUCAUGAGAAAAUUAAUGACCAAUGUUGUUUACA